CACGUUUGGCAGCAAGCCUUAAUCUGUUCUCAGAUACGAUUGAAAGAUAUGUCUAGCGCUCACUUCCGGUGCCGGUUAAGUGUUUCCUGGAGACGAGCUGCGGCUGUUUUGAAAAGAACAUGAAGCACGACUCUGACUCUGAUCUCGACGAAAGAAUCGAAACAUUGAAGCAGAAGUAUGCUCAGAGGCGCAACCAGGCUCCAGACGCGUCUGCUGAUGGACACACGCCAGACCACCGCACGGCUCUCAGAGAGCGCUACAGGACGCGUUCUGACCUGCCACAGAGGUCAGGGGUCAGGGGUCAGGGGUCAUCUGCUGUAGUUAAGCUGGCUUGAGAAAGAUCU
This 344-nucleotide long non-coding RNA is filed under the name Sinocyclocheilus grahami. Its description in RNAcentral is "lncRNA (ENSSGRG00000007193.1)". Lineage: Eukaryota; Metazoa; Chordata; Actinopteri; Cypriniformes; Cyprinidae. The record is from RNAcentral.